Molecule: non-coding RNA, 106 nt
Organism: Rhodocollybia butyracea
Lineage: Eukaryota; Fungi; Basidiomycota; Agaricomycetes; Agaricales; Omphalotaceae
Source: the annotation of a GenBank genome assembly
UCCUUCUUAGCUCAGUCGGUAGAGCGUGUUACUGGAAUACUCUGGGAAAGAACCCCUUUGUGCAUCUUUAAUUACGAGGUCAGCCGUUCAAAUCGGCUAGAAGGAA